AUCCUGGCUCAGAGCGAACGCUGGCGGCAGGCUUAACACAUGCAAGUCGAGCGGGCGUAGCAAUACGUCAUAGGCAGACGGGUGAGUAACGCGUGGGAACGUACCUUUUGGUUCGGAACAACACAGGGAAACUUGUGCUAAUACCGGAUAAGCCCUUACGGGGAAAGAUUUAUCGCCGAAAGAUCGGCCCGCGUCUGAUUAGCUAGUUGGUGAGGUAAUGGCUCACCAAGGCGACGAUCAGUAGCUGGUCUGAGAGGAUGAUCAGCCACAUUGGGACUGAGACACGGCCCAAACUCCUACGGGAGGCAGCAGUGGGGAAUAUUGGACAAUGGGGGCAACCCUGAUCCAGCCAUGCCGCGUGAGUGAUGAAGGCCCUAGGGUUGUAAAGCUCUUUUGUGCGGGAAGAUAAUGACGGUACCGCAAGAA
This 426-nucleotide ribosomal RNA is filed under the name Bradyrhizobium genosp. SA-2. RNAcentral's name for it is "bacterial SSU rRNA". It matches the Rfam family "Bacterial small subunit ribosomal RNA", at positions 16 to 486 of the family's 1533-position model. The record is from RNAcentral. Lineage: Bacteria; Pseudomonadati; Pseudomonadota; Alphaproteobacteria; Hyphomicrobiales; Nitrobacteraceae.